This is an RNA transcript of Quercus lobata, 3228 nucleotides long. It is a transcript of the gene named putative disease resistance protein At1g50180, with no coding region annotated. NCBI's taxonomy places the organism in Eukaryota, Viridiplantae, Streptophyta, Magnoliopsida, Fagales, Fagaceae. The transcript has 3 exons. The record is from RefSeq and is a predicted model, not a curated record.
ACUUGCAGGCAGCUGGUCAAAAAAGUCUGCGUUCACAUUCAAAUCAAUUGAGCCGAACCAGAACCACAUUUGGUAAUUUACUUUAGUUUGAUAUUUUUCAUGCUAGAAGUGUUGCCAUUGCUUCCUGUCCCGGUUCAAGAAGGAAAAAGCAGGAGGAGGCGCACAGCAUGGCAGAGUCCGUGGUGUCCUUUGUUGUGGAAAGGCUAGGCAACCUUCUAAUCGAAGAAGCAGCGUUUUUACAAGGAGUGAAACAGCAAGUAGAUCAGAUUCAAAUCGAAUUAAAGCGGAUGCAGUGCUUCUUGAAAGACGCAGACAAAAAGCAAAACGAUGAUGAAAGUGUUCAAAAUUGGGUUUCAGAGAUUCGGGAAGCUGCCUACGACGUUCAGGAUGUCAUUGAAACUUUCGCCCUUGAGAUCGCUUCAAAGAACAGAGACAACAACCCAGUCAAGAGAUACGUUCCUAGCUUCAACAACAGCAGAAAGCUUCACAAAGUGGGGUCCAAGAUUGAGUCCAUUAAAACAAAAAUUUCCGAUCUCACUAGAAGCUUACAAACUUAUGGUGUGACUCCCAUGAAAGAAGAGGGUUCGAGUUUAUCUUUGGACAGGCAAAGGCAAUUGAGAUGGUCAUAUUCCCAUAUUGUUGAAGAGUAUAUUGUGGGAUUGGAUGAAAAUAUAAAAGAAGUUGUUGGUCAGUUGGUGAAUGAAGAUAAACAGUGUCAAGUUGUGUCUAUUUGUGGGAUGGGUGGUCUAGGAAAGACCACUCUUGCUAAGAAAGUUUACCAUCACAGUGAUGUUAGGCGUCAUUUUGAUGGUUUCGCUUGGGCUUAUAUAUCCCAGCAAUGCAAAACAAGGGAUGUUUGGGAAGGAAUAUUAAUCAAACUUACCUCUCCAACCAAAGAUGAGAGGGAUCAAAUUUCGAAAAUGAGAGAUGAAGAGGUGGCAAAGAAGCUUAAUCAAGUUCAGAAAGAGAAGAGAUGUUUGGUGAUCCUAGAUGAUAUUUGGAGCACAGAGGCAUGGGAUUUACUUAGUCCUGGCUUCCCAUCAGGACAGGUAAUUAGUAGCAAAAUUCUACUAACAACCCGCAAUCGAGAAGUAGCCUUGCAUGUAGAUCCAAGUGGUUUUCUACAUGAACCGGGGUGUUUAAACGAAGAACAGAGCUGGGAGUUGUUUCAAAAGAAGGCAUUUCAGAGACAAGAUCCAGAAUUCAGAAUUUCCAAAGACAUGGAGAAUAUAGGGAGGGAAAUGGUGGCAAGGUGUGCUGGUUUACCACUGGCAAUUAUUGUGCUUGGAGGACUUUUGGCAACAAAAGAAACAUUGGAUGAAUGGGAUAUUGUGCAUCGAAAUAUAAAGUCACACUUAGGUAGAGGUCGUGGUCAACAAUCAAAAGUUUACGAGGUGUUGGCUUUGAGUUACUUUGAAUUGCCUUACCAAUUGAAACCAUGCUUCCUCUAUCUGAGCCAUUUCCCAGAGGACUUCGAUAUACCAACAAAGAAAUUGGUUCGACUAUGGGUGGCAGAAGGCUUUGUGCCUCUGAAGUAUGAACAAGAGGGAGAUGAAAAGUUGGAAGAUUAUGCAGAACGCUACUUGGUUGAGUUGAUAAAUAGAUGCAUGGUUCAAGUGGGUGUAAUUGGGUCAAAUGGAAGGAUUAAAUCUUGCCGUCUCCAUGAUCUUAUGCGAGACCUAUGCUUGUCAAACGCAAAGCAGGAAAAUUUCCUCCACGUACUAAGUCCUUGGAGUAGAAAUGAGACAGUUGAUUCAUCAACUGGUAGUAUUCGAAGGCUUGCCAUCUAUUCUGAUGUUCCCACAAAUAAUUAUUUCAAAAAGAAUCCCCAGAUCAGGUCCCUUAUAUACUUCAAUGAUAUUAGCGAGCAAAUAGGAAGGAAUCCAGUCAUUGGAUGGACAGUUACCAGAGCAAAUAGGAAGCUUGAUUCAUUUGAGGUUCUUAAGCUUGAAGAAAACUCAUAUACGAGAAUUGCCUUCCUCCAUAGUCAAUUUGGUGUGUUUAGAGACCCUAAAUUUGGAAACCAUUGAAGAACUGAGUUGGGAAUCAACUGUACUAAUACCGACAGUGAUAUGGAAGAUGAAAAAGUUGAGACAUCUAUAUCUUCCAAAGUGGUGUAACUAUUUAACUGAUGAUAAGCUGCAACUAGCAAAACUGAGCAACUUGCAGACGCUAGUGAACUUUCCCACAAACAAAUGUGAUGUAAGAGAACUUCUCAGUUUGACCAAUCUUAAAAAAUUGGUGCUAAAUGACCCGAGAGAUUUCCAAGAGUUUGGGGAAAUCUUCAAUUCUCCUAAUAAAAAAUUAAGCAGCCUUCGGUCCUUGUCCAUGAAGACUGAAAUGCUUUCAUUCCCUGAUAAGGUAGUAGACAUAGAGCAAGUAGUACAAGGCUGUCCUCGUCUUCACAAGCUGCACAUAGAAGGGCGGAUUAACAAACUACCAAAUCACCAGGAAUUUCCUCCAUACCUUGCCAAGUUAACUUUGUGGGGAUCUAGACUUGUGGAAGAUCCAAUGCCAAUACUCGAGAAGCUACCUUACUUGAGGGUCUUAAGAGGAUGGGAAGCCUUCAUUGGAAAGCAAAUGGUUUGUUCUGAAAAAGGGUUUCCUCAACUCAAAUCUUUACUCCUACGGGGCUUGCCUAAUUUACAAGAGUGGAUAGUGGAUGCAGGUGCCAUGCCAAGUCUUUUCCGUUUAGAGAUUACAGAUUGCAACAAGUUGGAGAUGGUUCCAGAUGGAUUGAAAUUUGUCAGCGCACUUCAGGAACUGGAGAUUCGAUGGAUGCCAAGAGCAUUCAAACAUAGGCUUGAAGAAGGAGGAGAGGAUUUCUACAAAGUCCAGCACGUGCCUUCCAUUACUUUUCUGAAUUGAGCUUUGAAUACAAGGGUGAUCAUUUGGUAAAACGCACUCAAAGGUACAUUAAUGGGAGCAACUACUGGAUAGCAAGGUGAAAGAAUGAUUUUGUGCCUGCAAUAAUAUUUGAAGUUUGAAGCUGCGAGGAGUCACCAUAAAGAGAAUCUUGACUCGAUACUUGAUUUAAUUUAUAGUCAUCUAUUGGUUGAUUUGAAGUCACAACUUCAGUUUAAAUCUCACGUGUGUUCGUUUAUGUGUGUUAGCGUGUGUGUAAGAGUUAUUUCCCUAGUAUACUUGAGUUCGAUUCUUUUCUGUGUUAAAGCUUGACAGUAGUCUGUUUAGAUUUCUAUAUGAUGUCAUCUCCGUGUUAUUUAUGCA